GCCGGGCAUGGUGGCGUGAGCCUGUAAUCCCAGCUACUUGGGAGGCUGAGGCAGGAGGAUUGCUUGAGCCCAGGAGUUUGAGGCUGCAGUGAGCCAGGAUCACACCACAGCACUGCAGCCUGGGCAAGACAGCAAGACCCUGUUUCAA
Unclassified non-coding RNA from Pongo abelii (Sumatran orangutan), 148 nucleotides. It matches the Rfam family "Metazoan signal recognition particle RNA". Rfam says of the family: The signal recognition particle (SRP) is a universally conserved ribonucleoprotein. It is involved in the co-translational targeting of proteins to membranes. The record is from Ensembl. Lineage: Eukaryota; Metazoa; Chordata; Mammalia; Primates; Hominidae.